CAUGCAAGUCGAACGGAAAGGCCCUUCGGGGUACUCGAGUGGCGAACGGGUGAGUAACACGUGGGUGAUCUGCCCUGCACUUUGGGAUAAGCCUGGGAAACUGGGUCUAAUACCGGAUAUGAUCAUCGGCUUCAUGGUCGGUGGUGGAAAGCUUUUGCGGUGUGGGAUGGGCCCGCGGCCUAUCAGCUUGUUGGUGGGGUAAUGGCCUACCAAGGCGAUGACGGGUAGCCGGCCUGAGAGGGUGUCCGGCCACACUGGGACUGAGAUACGGCCCAGACUCCUACGGGAGGCAGCAGUGGGGAAUAUUGCACAAUGGGCGCAAGCCUGAUGCAGCGACGCCGCGUGAGGGAUGACGGCCUUCGGGUUGUAAACCUCUUUCAGUAGGGACGAAGCGCAAGUGACGGUACCUAUAGAAGAAGGACCGGCCAACUACGUGCCAGCAGCCGCGGUAAUACGUAGGGUCCGAGCGUUGUCCGGAAUUACUGGGCGUAAAGAGCUCGUAGGUGGUUUGUCGCGUUGUUCGUGAAAACUCACA
This 535-nucleotide ribosomal RNA is filed under the name uncultured Mycobacterium sp. RNAcentral describes it as "bacterial SSU rRNA". It matches the Rfam family "Bacterial small subunit ribosomal RNA", at positions 54 to 606 of the family's 1533-position model. The record is from RNAcentral. Lineage: Bacteria; Bacillati; Actinomycetota; Actinomycetes; Mycobacteriales; Mycobacteriaceae.